CUGUGCCUUCAGCAGUCAGAGUCCCUGUGCUGCCCACUCUCAGGAGAGCAGCUCCGUGAGGAGGUAGCAGCUUCCGAGUGCCUGAGACUGAGUCUCUGUGAAAGGAUAUAGAUGCCUAAGAAACAGGAGAAGGAGGCCCGCUCCCAGCCCAAGAAAGGGCUGAUGAGGGUGCAGGCACUGGGAGAGAGAUGGACGGUGAGCCACAGGCCGCAGCAAGCUGUGCUGCCAGGCAGCUGCAAGAAUGCAUCCCACCGUGGGGUCCGUCUGCCACCACUACCCCGCCUGGAGAUUCCACAGGUCUCUAAAUACCCCCGCACACAGGUGAGCCACAGGCCGCAGCAAGCUGUGCUGCCAGGCAGCUGCAAGAAUGCAUCCCACCAUGGGGUCCAUCUGCCACCACUACCCCGCCUGGAGAUCCCACAGGUCUCUGAACCCCCCCGCACACAGGAGGACCACAGGCCAUAGCAAGGUGUGCUGCAGGGCAGCCAGAGCCCAGCCUUACUCCUCAGUGGGUCCUGGAGCUCCAUCUGGUGAGGCAAAGGCCAAGUCUUCAGCUUCUGCUGUGGCUUCAGGUCCUGGGCCGGAGUGACACCAUGUGUCUGAAUCAUGAGAACAACUUUUCCAUAUUGUGAGAACAGCCUUCCAUAUAACUUGAGCAGAUACAAACUGAAGGACGGAG
Molecule: long non-coding RNA, 679 nt
Filed under: Gallus gallus (chicken)
Lineage: Eukaryota; Metazoa; Chordata; Aves; Galliformes; Phasianidae
Description: long non-coding RNA NONGGAT012062
Source: RNAcentral